GGGCUGGGGCUCAGCGGUAGAGUGCUGGCCUAGCACGUGCGAGGCCCUGGGUGCGAAGCCCUGGGUUCG
Molecule: transfer RNA, 69 nt
Filed under: Marmota monax (woodchuck)
Lineage: Eukaryota; Metazoa; Chordata; Mammalia; Rodentia; Sciuridae
Description: tRNA.Ala
Source: RNAcentral